Molecule: long non-coding RNA, 284 nt
Organism: Melitaea cinxia (Glanville fritillary)
Lineage: Eukaryota; Metazoa; Arthropoda; Insecta; Lepidoptera; Nymphalidae
Exons: 2
Source: RefSeq, a predicted model, not a curated record
AUUUCAUAAUAAAACACCACCGUUCGACUCACUCGUUUAUUUCAAGGCGACUUUUUCAGAGUGGAAAGUUUGUUCAGUCUCUACGACGGCUGUAGAUGUCUGGCGAUAUCAAGAUAGCAGAUUUGAUUGGAACCCUUUGCACUAUUGUCGUCCACAUUCCUCGAACAAAUUUCACGCUUUGUUGGAGGAGAAAAUAAAAUGUUUGUAUUUGAACAUUUGUCUUUUACGUUAAGAUAACAAUUUAUUUGGCUGUAAUUAUUACGUUUUCUUUUUAUAUUUUUUAA